UACGUAGGGUGCAAGCGUUGUCCGGAAUUAUUGGGCGUAAAGAGCUCGUAGGCGGUUUGUCGCGUCGAAUGUGAAAACCCGGGGCUCAACCCCGGGCCUGCAUUCGAUACGGGCAGACUAGAGUUCGGUAGGGGAGUCUGGAAUUCCUGGUGUAGCGGUGAAAUGCGCAGAUAUCAGGAGGAACACCGGUGGCGAAGGCGGGACUCUGGGCCGAUACUGACGCUGAGGAGCGAAAGCCAGGGGAGCGAACGGG
This 253-nucleotide ribosomal RNA is filed under the name uncultured bacterium. RNAcentral's name for it is "partial 16S ribosomal RNA". It matches the Rfam family "Bacterial small subunit ribosomal RNA", at positions 524 to 776 of the family's 1533-position model. The record is from RNAcentral.